AUACGAAGGUGGCUAGCGUUGUUCGGAAUUACUGGGCGUAAAGCGCGCGUAGGCGGACUGAUCAGUUGGGGGUGAAAUCCCAGGGCUUAACCCUGGAACUGCCUCCAAUACUGUCAGUCUUGAGUUCGGGAGAGGUGAGUGGAAUUCCUAGUGUAGAGGUGAAAUUCGUAGAUAUUAGGAAGAACACCAGUGGCGAAGGCGGCUCACUGGCCCGAUACUGACGCUGAGGCGCGAAAGCGUGGGGAGCAAACAGGAUUAGAUACCCCAGUAGUCC
Molecule: ribosomal RNA, 274 nt
Filed under: uncultured bacterium
Lineage: Bacteria
Description: partial 16S ribosomal RNA
Rfam family: Bacterial small subunit ribosomal RNA
Source: RNAcentral